RNAcentral lists this microRNA (22 nucleotides) under Oreochromis niloticus (Nile tilapia). RNAcentral's name for it is "oni-miR-10724". The record is from miRBase by way of RNAcentral. Lineage: Eukaryota; Metazoa; Chordata; Actinopteri; Cichliformes; Cichlidae.
UCAGUGAGCUGUAUCCCGUGAA